This 445-nucleotide ribosomal RNA is filed under the name uncultured bacterium. RNAcentral describes it as "bacterial SSU rRNA". It matches the Rfam family "Bacterial small subunit ribosomal RNA", at positions 354 to 796 of the family's 1533-position model. The record is from RNAcentral.
GUAGGGAAUAUUGCGCAAUGGAGGCAACUCUGACGCAGCCAUGCCGCGUGCAGGAAGAAGGCGCUACGCGUUGUAAACUGCUUUUAACCGGGAAGAAACCCCAGGACGUGUCCUGGGUUGACGGUACCGGAGGAAUAAGCACCGGCUAACUUCGUGCCAGCAGCCGCGGUAAUACGAAGGGUGCAAGCGUUAUCCGGAUUCAUUGGGUUUAAAGGGUGCGUAGGCGGAGCGUUAAGUCAGUGGUGAAAUCCUGCAGCUUAACUGUAGACUUGCCAUUGAUACUGGCGCUCUUGAGUGCGCUUGAAGUGGGCGGAAUGUGCCGUGUAGCGGUGAAAUGCUUAGAUAUGGCACAGAACACCAAUUGCGAAGGCAGCUCACUAAGGCGAUACUGACGCUGAGGCACGAAAGCGUGGGGAUCGAACAGGAUUAGAAACCCUUGUAGUCC